UACGGAGGGUGCAAGCGUUGCUCGGAAUUACUGGGCGUAAAGGGUCCGCAGGCGGGCAUUUAAGUCGGAUGUGAAAGCCCAGGGCUCAACUCUGGAACUGCAUUCGAAACUGGAUGCCUCGAGUACGGGAGAGGAGAGCGGAAUUCCUGGUGUAGAGGUGAAAUUCGUAGAUAUCAGGAGGAACACCCGUGGCGAAAGCGGCUCUCUGGCCCGAUACUGACGCUCAUGGACGAAAGCGUGGGGAGCAAAC
RNAcentral lists this ribosomal RNA (250 nucleotides) under uncultured bacterium. Its description in RNAcentral is "partial 16S ribosomal RNA". It matches the Rfam family "Bacterial small subunit ribosomal RNA", at positions 524 to 773 of the family's 1533-position model. The record is from RNAcentral.